GGAAUCUUGGACAAUGGGCGCAAGCCUGAUCCAGCCAUGCCGCGUGGGUGAUGAAGGCCCUAGGGUUGUAAAGCCCUUUCGGCGGGGAAGAUAAUGACGGUACCCGCAGAAGAAGCCCCGGCUAACUUCGUGCCAGCAGCCGCGGGAAUACGAAGGGGGCGAGCGUUGCUCGGAAUCACUGGGCGUAAAGCGCACGUAGGCGGCUCUUUAAGUCAGGGGUGAAAUCCUGGAGCUCAACUCCAGAACUGCCUUUGAUACUGGGGAGCUCGAGUCCGGGAGAGGUGAGUGGAACUGCGAGUGUAGAGGUGGAAUUCGUAGAUAUUCGCAAGAACACCAGUGGGGAAGGCGGCUCACUGGCCCGGUACUGACGCUGAGGUGCGAAAGCGUGGGGAGCAA
RNAcentral lists this ribosomal RNA (396 nucleotides) under uncultured bacterium. RNAcentral describes it as "bacterial SSU rRNA". It matches the Rfam family "Bacterial small subunit ribosomal RNA", at positions 358 to 771 of the family's 1533-position model. The record is from RNAcentral.